Long non-coding RNA from Sciurus carolinensis (gray squirrel), 580 nucleotides. RefSeq lists it as uncharacterized. NCBI's taxonomy places the organism in Eukaryota, Metazoa, Chordata, Mammalia, Rodentia, Sciuridae. The transcript is spliced from 3 exons. The record is from RefSeq and is a predicted model, not a curated record.
UAGGUCUGAUGCAGACAGCUGAGCAACUGCCUCACCGGCUGAUUCACCUCACUUACCACCGUCAUCGCAAUCUAAUUUAGAAGUCAUGGAACAUUUUGUCCAUCUGGUCAGAGAGGUGGCUAAUAUUGUUGGACUUUUUUUCCCACAAAAGUAAAUGUUCCAUCUCUUUCAUUCUGGAAUGGAAUGUGAAACUUCAGUUUCUGAGAACUGUCACCACCGAUGGAGGGAGUUUGUGUGAGAAGAACUCGCCAAAAAAGUUAAGAGAGGUAAGAUUUAUUAGAGGGAUACACUGCUAGGAAGCAGCAGGGGCAUGAAAAAGACAUCUGCCCCUGCAUUCUGGAUUUGCACCUCAGCUACUUUCCACCACUUCCUGCCUCUGUGACCUUGGGCCUACAGAAUCAAAAACUAAGUGGUGGGAGCCCAGCACUCUGUGUUUUAACAAUCCUCCAAAGGAUUCUGAUGUACACUGAAGUUCAGGACCCCUGGACCUGUUGGGUCACUAUAAUAAGGACAAGCAAGCCAUCAGGAGUCUAGGUAAGCAUCUGGCAUCAGAGGGCUUACCAAACAGUGAAGAAUUCAA